Molecule: long non-coding RNA, 1110 nt
Filed under: Canis lupus familiaris (dog)
Lineage: Eukaryota; Metazoa; Chordata; Mammalia; Carnivora; Canidae
Description: lncRNA (ENSCAFG00030014897.1)
Source: RNAcentral
CGCCGCCGCCCUCGCCGCGACACGGCUGUGGGCUGUCGACGUGCUCGCCUGGGCCGCGCGGCCCCAGACGCCGGAGCCCGGGGCAGCCCUCUCCCGCCGCCGCUCACGCCCGCCGCAGCGCUGCCCUCCGCCCUGCCCGUGUCGAGCGCAGCCCGUGCCCAUCCGCGGGGCCUCCGGCCGGCGAACCCGGCGGCUCUGCUCCAGCCGCGGCGUCCCCCCGCCCCCCGGCCCCACGGCACGAGCCCCCCGCCCGGCGUCGCCUGCCCCCUCCAAGUGGAGGUCGGGACGUGCUCAUCCUACCGGGGCCCCCACGGCCUCUCCAACCCUCCCACUCCACCUCCUGCGCCCCCCCCUCGGCGAGCUGCUCUCCAGGCACACGACCUCCCGCCGCUGCUCCACCAACAGGACAGUGACACCCAGGCCACAGGACCUUUGCACGGAUGUUCCUAUUCCGGGGCGCAGCUUGCCAGGGCACAUCUGGCAAGUUAGGAAAUCAUUCCCAAACCUGGCGGGCACUUGAAAUAAAUACAGAUUCUCAAGCCUGCUGCAAAGCCAUGAGUCAGCGCCGCUCUACAAGGACCCAGGACGCUGACUCCCAGUUACGGCUGCUACAGCCCCCCAGCACAGUCCCACGUCAGGGCUGAGGGGGCAGACCUGGCCCCCCAUUCCCAAAGACGGCCAAGACACCUUCCGUGAGUGGAUUCCUCAUCAACAGAGCUUAUGCGUAGUGACACUCCAACUGCUGCUUCCCUUCCAGACUUGAAGGCUGAAGUUGUAACCAUGGCUGGGGCCAUGGUUCCCAAACUUCUAUGUCCCAGGAACCCCUUACACUUAAAAAUUAUCAAGAACCCCAAGCCUGUGUGCAUGUGCUUCAUGUCUAUUAAUAUUUCCUUCAUUCAAAAUCAAAAUUGAAACGUGUUGAAAACAAGAAAAUUCCAGCACAUGUUCCAACAGCCAUCAGAGCAACGACACUGCCACAUGUCACAGAGCCACUGGAAAGCAACUCCACAUACAAGAUGUCUUAGAAUUAGUUUGACCAUGUUCCAAGGACCCCCUGAAACAAGUUGAGCCCCCCUCGCUCCUCAGGGAUCCCUGAUGAUACUUAGAGAA